GGAGCGAAUGUCCUUCUUCAGCCUGCCCGCAUGGAUGCUGGGCUUAUCUGCGCGCCGCACUCCUCUUCUUUCACUGAUUCCGAACAGCUUUCAUGGGUGGCUUUGUGAAGAAUUAUCCUCUCCAGGGAAAUACAUCUUUUAUUCUUCUGAUUUUUAAGAGGGAAUAUGGUCUGAGGCAAAGUUCCAGCAACAGAGGAAACUUUCUUCAAUCAACAAUAAGACCUUCAUCAUUUUGAUUGUUACCUGUUGCUGAGAUGAGAAGAUACAGCUAUUCCCAGAAAGCCGGGUACUUAAAUCUUAUUGGAUAUAAAGAAUAAGCUUUCAGAUCAAGAAGGUCUUCUUGAGUGAGGUGUACUAAAGCAUAAACAGGUAACAGACAGCAGUAACUGAUAUCCAGCAGGCAUCACAUGAACUGGGGAGCAUCCUCAAUCUCUAGCUGACAAGUUGUGCAUGCAGCACUCUUCUUGCAGGAUGGUGAGAAACAAAAUGCAGGAGAAAAGAACUGAAGAAAAAUAACCAAAGGGAACUGAUGUCCUAUAUAAAGUGCUGUCCAGUGGGAUAGGCAGCUAUCUGAAAUGUCAUCUCACUUCCAAAUUAGAUUUGCGAAACCCCAAUGCUAGCAAAACUGACUCACCUAUUUAUCACAUUCCUACCCUUACUAAGAACUUUUAACCUAGUGCUCCUUCUUUAUUUGUUUGGGCCUAAAAUACUCCCUCAGCCUAAAUAAAGAUUUAUAAUUGGUUGAUUUCUAGUUAGGGCUGUUUGAGCAGAAUAAAGUUACUCACCAUUCAUACUGCACACUGGACUUUGUUCACUGAGUAAAUUAAUACAGUGUUAAUAAUAAUGCAGUACUUUGUAGUACAUCUGCAUAAG
This is a long non-coding RNA of Numida meleagris (helmeted guineafowl), 873 nucleotides long. RefSeq lists it as uncharacterized. Lineage: Eukaryota; Metazoa; Chordata; Aves; Galliformes; Numididae. The record is from RefSeq and is a predicted model, not a curated record. The transcript has 4 exons.